Molecule: ribosomal RNA, 253 nt
Filed under: uncultured bacterium
Lineage: Bacteria
Description: partial 16S ribosomal RNA
Rfam family: Bacterial small subunit ribosomal RNA
Source: RNAcentral
GACGUAGGGCGCGAGCGUUGUCCGGAUUUAUUGGGCGUAAAGAGCUCGUAGGCGGCUCGUUGCGUCGGCUGUGAAAACCCGCAGCUCAACUGUGGGCUUGCAGCCGAUACGGGCGGGCUAGGAUUCGGUAGGGGAGACUGGAAUUCCUGGUGUAGCGGUGAAAUGCGCAGAUAUCAGGAGGAACACCGGUGGCGAAGGCGGGCCUCUGGGCCGAUAUCGACGCUGAGGAGCGAAAGCGUGGGGAGCGAACAGG